Molecule: ribosomal RNA, 313 nt
Filed under: bacterium Eg
Lineage: Bacteria
Description: bacterial SSU rRNA
Rfam family: Bacterial small subunit ribosomal RNA
Source: RNAcentral
UAACUGGAGGAGGGUGGGGAUGACGUCAAAUCAUCAUGCCCCUUAUGACCUGGGCAACACACGUGCUACAUGGGAAGUACAACGAGUCGCUAGACCGCGAGGUCAUGCAAAUCUCUUAAAGCUUCUCUCAGUUCGGAUGCAGGCUGCAACUCGCCUGCAUGAAGCCGGAAUCGCCAGUAAUCGCGGAUCAGCACGCCGCGGUGAAUAGUUCCCGGGCCUUGUACACACCGCCCGUCACACCACGAGAGUUUGUAACACCCGAAGUCGGUGAGGUAACUUUUUGGAGCCAGCCGCCUAAGGUGGGAUAGAUGAU